RNAcentral lists this ribosomal RNA (337 nucleotides) under uncultured bacterium. RNAcentral's name for it is "bacterial SSU rRNA". It matches the Rfam family "Bacterial small subunit ribosomal RNA", at positions 1 to 334 of the family's 1533-position model. The record is from RNAcentral.
CUAGCGACUUCAGAGUUUGAUCCUGGCUCAGGAUUAACGCUGGCGGCGUGCAUAACACAUUCAAGUCGAACGGAGUAAGGUGCUUCGGUAUCUUACUCAGUGGCGGACGGGUGAGUAACGCGUGAGCAAUCUACCUUCAGGUGAGGAAUAACACCGGAAACAGUUGCUAAUACCUCAUGACAUAAGAGAGUCGCAUGGCUUUCUUAUCAAAGGCUUGCUGCCUGAAGAUGAGCUUGCGUCCGAUUAGAUAGUUGGCGGGGUAACGGCCCACCAAGCCGACGAUCGGUAGCCGGACUGAGAGGUUGAACGGCCACAUUGGAACUGAGAUACGGUCCAG